This 468-nucleotide ribosomal RNA is filed under the name uncultured bacterium. RNAcentral's name for it is "partial 16S ribosomal RNA". It matches the Rfam family "Bacterial small subunit ribosomal RNA", at positions 28 to 507 of the family's 1533-position model. The record is from RNAcentral.
GACGAACGCUGGCGGCGUGCUUAACACAUGCAAGUCGAACGGAAAGGCUCCAGCUUGCUGGAGUACUCGAGUGGCGAACGGGUGAGUAACACGUGGGUGAUCUGCCCUGCACUUCGGGAUAAGCCUGGGAAACUGGGUCUAAUACCGGAUAGGACCGCACUUUGGUGUGUGUGGUGGAAAGGUUUUUCUGGUGUGGGAUGAGCUCGCGGCCUAUCAGUUUGUUGGUGGGGUAAUGGCCUACCAAGACGGCGACGGGUAGCCGGCCUGAGAGGGUGGACGGGCACAGUGGGACUGAGAUACGGCCCAGACUCCUACGGGAGGCAGCAGGGGGGAAGAUUGAACAAUGGGGGAACCCCUGAUGCAGCGACGCCGCGUGGGGGAUGAAGGCCUUCGGGUUGUAAACUCCUUUCGCUAGGGACGAAGCUUUUUGUGACGGUACCUGGAGAAGAAGCACCGGCUAACUACGUG